GUCCACGCAGCACAGCGGUCA
Molecule: microRNA, 21 nt
Filed under: Echinococcus granulosus
Lineage: Eukaryota; Metazoa; Platyhelminthes; Cestoda; Cyclophyllidea; Taeniidae
Description: egr-miR-10239-5p
Source: miRBase by way of RNAcentral